RNAcentral lists this ribosomal RNA (465 nucleotides) under uncultured bacterium. Its description in RNAcentral is "partial 16S ribosomal RNA". It matches the Rfam family "Bacterial small subunit ribosomal RNA", at positions 28 to 507 of the family's 1533-position model. The record is from RNAcentral.
GACGAACGCUGGCGGCGUGCUUAACACAUGCAAGUCGAACGGAAAGGCCCUGCUUGCAGGGUACUCGAGUGGCGAACGGGUGAGUAACACGUGGGUUAUCUGCCCUUCACUUCUGGAUAAGCCUGGGAAACUGGGUCUAAUACUGGAUAGGAGCCAUUCUUAGGGUGUUUGUUGGAAAGUUUUUUCGGUGUAGGAUGAGCUCGCGGCCUAUCAGCUUGUUGGUGGGGUAAUGGCCUACCAAGGCGGCGACGGGUAGCCGGCCUGAGAGGGUGGACGGCCACAGUGGGACUGAGAUACGGCCCAGACUCCUACGGGAGGCAGCAGUGGGGAAUAUUGCACAAUGGGCGCAAGCCUGAUGCAGCGACGCCGCGUGGGGGAGGACGGCCUUCGGGUUGUAAACUCCUUUCGCUAGGGACGAAGCUUUUUGUGACGGUACCUAGAUAAGAAGCACCGGCUAACUACGUG